GAUGAACGCUGGCGGCGUGCCUAAUACAUGCAAGUCGAGCGAACGGACGAGAAGCUUGCUCCUCUGAUGUUAGCGGCGGACGGGUGAGUAACACGUGGAUAACCUACCUAUAAGACUGGGAUAACUUCGGGAAACCGGAGCUAAUACCGGAUAAUAUUUUGAACCGCAUGGUUCAAAAGUGAAAGACGGUCUUGCUGUCACUUAUAGAUGGAUCCGCGCUGCAUUAGCUAGUUGGUAAGGUAACGGCUUACCAAGGCAACGAUGCAUAGCCGACCUGAGAGGGUGAUCGGCCACACUGGAACUGAGACACGGUCCAGACUCCUACGGGAGGCAGCAGUAGGGAAUCUUCCGCAAAGGGCGAAAGCCUGACGGAGCAACGCCGCGUGAGUGAUGAAGGUCUUCGGAUCGUAAAACUCUGUUAUUAGGGAAGAACAUAUGUGUAAGUAACUGUGCACAUCUUGACGGUACCUAAUCAGAAAGCCACGGCUAACUACGUG
Molecule: ribosomal RNA, 497 nt
Filed under: uncultured bacterium
Lineage: Bacteria
Description: partial 16S ribosomal RNA
Rfam family: Bacterial small subunit ribosomal RNA
Source: RNAcentral